AAAUUGAAGAGUUUGAUCAUGGCUCAGAUUGAACGCUGGCGGCAGGCCUAACACAUGCAAGUCGAACGGUAACAGGAAGCAGCUUGCUGCUUUGCUGACGAGUGGCGGACGGGUGAGUAAUGUCUGGGAAACUGCCUGAUGGAGGGGGAUAACUACUGGAAACGGUAGCUAAUACCGCAUAACGUCGCAAGACCAAAGAGGGGGACCUUAGGGCCUCUUGCCAUCGGAUGUGCCCAGAUGGGAUUAGCUGGUAGGUGGGGUAACGGCUCACCUAGGCGACGAUCCCUAGCUGGUCUGAGAGGAUGACCAGCCACACUGGAACUGAGACACGGUCCAGACUCCUACGGGAGGCAGCAGUGGGGAAUAUUGCACAAUGGGCGCAAGCCUGAUGCAGCCAUGCCGCGUGUAUGAAGAAGGCCUUCGGGUUGUAAAGUACUUUCAGCGGGGAGGAAGGGAGUAAAGUUAAUACCUUUGCUCAUUGACGUUACCCGCAGAAGAAGCACCGGCUAACUCCGUGCCAGCAGCCGCGGUAAUACGGAGGGUGCAAGCGUUAAUCGGAAUUACUGGGCGUAAAGCGCACGCAGGCGGUUUGUUAAGUCAGAUGUGAAAUCCCCGGGCUCAACCUGGGAACUGCAUCUGAUACUGGCAAGCUUGAGUCUCGUAGAGGGGGGUAGAAUUCCAGGUGUAGCGGUGAAAUGCGUAGAGAUCUGGAGGAAUACCGGUGGCGAAGGCGGCCCCCUGGACGAAGACUGACGCUCAGGUGCGAAAGCGUGGGGAGCAAACAGGAUUAGAUACCCUGGUAGUCCACGCCGUAAACGAUGUCGACUUGGAGGUUGUGCCCUUGAGGCGUGGCUUCCGGAGCUAACGCGUUAAGUCGACCGCCUGGGGAGUACGGCCGCAAGGUUAAAACUCAAAUGAAUUGACGGGGGCCCGCACAAGCGGUGGAGCAUGUGGUUUAAUUCGAUGCAACGCGAAGAACCUUACCUGGUCUUGACAUCCACGGAAGUUUUCAGAGAUGAGAAUGUGCCUUCGGGAACCGUGAGACAGGUGCUGCAUGGCUGUCGUCAGCUCGUGUUGUGAAAUGUUGGGUUAAGUCCCGCAACGAGCGCAACCCUUAUCCUUUGUUGCCAGCGGUCCGGCCGGGAACUCAAAGGAGACUGCCAGUGAUAAACUGGAGGAAGGUGGGGAUGACGUCAAGUCAUCAUGGCCCUUACGACCAGGGCUACACACGUGCUACAAUGGCGCAUACAAAGAGAAGCGACCUCGCGAGAGCAAGCGGACCUCAUAAAGUGCGUCGUAGUCCGGAUUGGAGUCUGCAACUCGACUCCAUGAAGUCGGAAUCGCUAGUAAUCGUGGAUCAGAAUGCCACGGUGAAUACGUUCCCGGGCCUUGUACACACCGCCCGUCACACCAUGGGAGUGGGUUGCAAAAGAAGUAGGUAGCUUAACCUUCGGGAGGGCGCUUACCACUUUGUGAUUCAUGACUGGGGUGAAGUCGUAACAAGGUAACCGUAGGGGAACCUGCGGUUGGAUCACCUCCUUACCUUAAAGAAGC
This 1554-nucleotide ribosomal RNA is filed under the name Escherichia coli. RNAcentral describes it as "bacterial SSU rRNA". It matches the Rfam family "Bacterial small subunit ribosomal RNA". The record is from RNAcentral. Lineage: Bacteria; Pseudomonadati; Pseudomonadota; Gammaproteobacteria; Enterobacterales; Enterobacteriaceae.